GGAGAAGAAGUCCUUCCAGAAACGUCCACAAACCCAUGUCCUGCUUGAUAAAAGAUUAACUGCAGGAGAAGUUGAUAGAGUAGAUCGAUCGCUGAAAGUAAUCUCCGUUCUCCGCUUUGCUUCCAAGAACACGGCUCAAG
This is a long non-coding RNA of Telopea speciosissima, 140 nucleotides long. RefSeq lists it as uncharacterized. NCBI's taxonomy places the organism in Eukaryota, Viridiplantae, Streptophyta, Magnoliopsida, Proteales, Proteaceae. The transcript is spliced from 3 exons. The record is from RefSeq and is a predicted model, not a curated record.